This 465-nucleotide ribosomal RNA is filed under the name Escherichia coli. Its description in RNAcentral is "bacterial SSU rRNA". It matches the Rfam family "Bacterial small subunit ribosomal RNA", at positions 337 to 796 of the family's 1533-position model. Lineage: Bacteria; Pseudomonadati; Pseudomonadota; Gammaproteobacteria; Enterobacterales; Enterobacteriaceae. The record is from RNAcentral.
UCCUACGGGAGGCUGCAGUGGGGAAUUUUGGGCAAUGGGCGCAAGCCUGACCCAGCAACGCCGCGUGAGGGAGGAAAUCCUUCGGGAUGUAAACCUCGCAAGCAGGGGAAGAGUGCUUUCGACCUAAUACGUCGAAAGAGGGACGGUACCCUGCGUAAGCCACGGCUAACUACGUGCCAGCAGCCGCGGUAAUACGUAGGUGGCAAGCGUUGUUCGGAAUUACUGGGCGUAAAGGGCGCGUAGGCGGCUUGUUCAGUCGGCUGGGAAAGCCCGGGGCUCAACCCCGGAGGGUCGGGCGAUACUGGCGAGCGGGAGUACGGAAGAGGUAGCUGGAAUUCCCGGUGGAGCGGUGAAAUGCGUAGAUAUCGGGAGGAACACCAGAGGCGAAGGCGGGCUACUGGGCCGAUACUGACGCUGAUGCGCGAAAGCCAGGGGAGCAAACGGGAUUAGAUACCCUAGUAGUCC